This 89-nucleotide non-coding RNA is filed under the name Pseudomonas sp. URMO17WK12:I6. Lineage: Bacteria; Pseudomonadati; Pseudomonadota; Gammaproteobacteria; Pseudomonadales; Pseudomonadaceae. The record is from RNAcentral.
AUUUAUGGUGGCCAUGCGUAGGGUGCCCUCGGGCACGCCGGUUUUUCCAUGUGGGCCGGUCUACCAACCUUCGUAUGGCCACCACCUCU